RNAcentral lists this unclassified non-coding RNA (306 nucleotides) under Hevea brasiliensis (rubber tree). Lineage: Eukaryota; Viridiplantae; Streptophyta; Magnoliopsida; Malpighiales; Euphorbiaceae. The record is from RNAcentral.
UAAUUACUUUCUAUGCUAGUACCUCACAUUUCAUAUUCCAAAAGCAUAACAGAAAUUCAUUGUACCUGAAUGUCGAAAAGAGCUUCAUGGACUAUAUCAUUACUAUAUAAACAAGUAAAAUACUCCAUUUUACAAAAUUUAUAAGAAGUACUACUCUACUUGAGACGAGCACCUUUACAAAGAUUCCGCAGUUAUCACUACGUUUAUACCAAGUUCUUCCGACUUGAACUUUAACAUUCUGUGAUGCACGCGUACAUAAAUAAAUUGUUUCAUCUCAUCAAUCUGUACAUAUUUCUUCAAAUUUGA